GGCACCAUGGCUUAGUGGGCUAAAGCACCUGCCUUGUAAACAAAAGAUCCUGGGUUCAACUCCCAGUGCUGCUU
Molecule: transfer RNA, 74 nt
Filed under: Pelodiscus sinensis (Chinese soft-shelled turtle)
Lineage: Eukaryota; Metazoa; Chordata; Testudines; Trionychidae
Rfam family: tRNA
About the family: Transfer RNA (tRNA) molecules are approximately 80 nucleotides in length. Their secondary structure includes four short double-helical elements and three loops (D, anti-codon, and T loops).
Source: Rfam by way of RNAcentral